AUUGAACGCUGGCGGCAGGCCUAACACAUGCAAGUCGAACGAGUGGCGGACGGGUGAGUAAUGUCUGGGAAACUGCCUGAUGGAGGGGGAUAACUACUGGAACCGGUAGCUACUACCGCAUACCAUCGGAUUUGCCCAGCUGGGAUUAGCUAGUAGGUGGGGUAAAGGCUCACCUAGGCGACGAUCCCUCGCUGGUCUGAGAGGAUGACCAGCCAAACUGGAACUGAGACACGGUCCAGACUCCUACGGGAGGCAGCAGUAGGGAAUAUUGCACAAUUGUCUCAAGCCUGAUGCAGCCAUGCCGCGUGUAUGAAGAAGGCCUUCGGGUUUUAAAGUACUUUCAGCGGGGAGGCGUUACCCGCAGAAGAAGCACCGGCUAACUCCGUGCCAGCAGCCGCGGUAAUUC
RNAcentral lists this ribosomal RNA (406 nucleotides) under uncultured bacterium. Its description in RNAcentral is "partial 16S ribosomal RNA". It matches the Rfam family "Bacterial small subunit ribosomal RNA", at positions 30 to 526 of the family's 1533-position model. The record is from RNAcentral.